AUGUAUUAAAUUAGUGUUCAGUAAACUCCUCAGUAUUUGCAAUGCAAUAAAUAUCAGUAAUAUUCAUUUGAUUAUUAUCAAAUAUAAGUAUAUAAACAAAAUAACCUGCUUAUAACGCUCUAUCACUAACGCUAACAGAUGCAACGUUUAUAAUCCAGAACAUACCUUUCCAACUGCCACAAGUAUCAACUUCUAGACAAAAUGUUUCAAGUAUUUUGAUGGGAAUUGGGAAGUCUGGAAUCUUGUAUGACAAAGACUUAAAGAGUUUCAUCAUGGGCACAUUUCAAAAACUGGGAUAAAGAAUUUUUAGGUAGUUAAUGCGCAAUAAAAAUAUUGGCAAAACUACUGGAUAUGCAUUUAGUGACUUCUAUGAUCCCGUAUCUGUUUUUCAUAAGCUCAAUGGAAAUAUAUAACUGGUACUAAUCUGUCUAAUCUAACAAGUUUGUUUCAAAUGACUCUCGAGGGUAUAAGGCCAGUCAAGAUUAUGGACAACGUUUUGAAAUCAAUUAUUGAAAUUGAUCACAAAUGUGUGUUUAAACCAGAACCAACUAUUCAAAUUUUGUUAUUAAAACUCUUGGAAAUUUAAUUGUAGUUGAUUACAAAAAGUUAUUGACAUAGAUGCAUUAAAUAAAGACCUGGUCUACAAGAUUACAAUUUAGGGGAUGCACAUAAAAGUUCUAAAUGGCUAUUCUAUAGAAAUUAUUUAAGUAUUCACAAUAAAAUCAAAUAUUGAAAUAUAUUUUGCUAAGC
Molecule: long non-coding RNA, 750 nt
Organism: Rhopalosiphum maidis (corn leaf aphid)
Lineage: Eukaryota; Metazoa; Arthropoda; Insecta; Hemiptera; Aphididae
Exons: 4
Source: RefSeq, a predicted model, not a curated record